RNAcentral lists this ribosomal RNA (253 nucleotides) under uncultured bacterium. RNAcentral describes it as "partial 16S ribosomal RNA". It matches the Rfam family "Bacterial small subunit ribosomal RNA", at positions 524 to 776 of the family's 1533-position model. The record is from RNAcentral.
UACGUAGGCAGCGAGCGUUGUUCGGAGUUACUGGGCGUAAAGAGUGCGUAGGCGGUUUUCUAAGUUUGGUGUGAAAUCUCCCGGCUUAACUGGGAGGGUGCGCCGAAGACUGGAAGGCUUGAGUAUGGGAGAGGUAAGCGGAAUUCCUGGUGUAGCGGUGAAAUGCGUAGAUAUCAGGAGGAACACCGGUGGUGUAGACGGCUUUCUGGACCGUAACUGACGCUGAGACACGAAAGCGUGGGUAGCAAACAGG